RNAcentral lists this unclassified non-coding RNA (4076 nucleotides) under Acyrthosiphon pisum (pea aphid). RNAcentral's name for it is "uncharacterized LOC100574854, transcript variant X1". The record is from RNAcentral. Lineage: Eukaryota; Metazoa; Arthropoda; Insecta; Hemiptera; Aphididae.
GAAGAUAAUAUUUUAAUGUCCUAUAAAAUAUCUUCACAGCCAUUUUUCUCCGAAACUGUAAGAACUAUACUGUUGAAAAUUGGAUCUGGAAUUUUGUGUGACAGAAAACUCGAAAGACGACAAGCUGUAUCAUCUUGCUCAGUAAACACUGACGAUAAGUUUUAUUGUUCAAAUGGACUGUGUAUCGAAUCGUCGUGGGUUUGUGAUGGUCGUAAGGAUUGUUCAGAUGGUUCAGACGAGACUACAGAGUUGUGUGCUCUUUACGAAUAUGGAACCACGGGUUGCGGUAGAGUUGAAUUUUUCGACUUUAGUGGAAAAGCAGUUUUUGGAAAAGCACAUUGGAAUGUUGGAAUAUAUCGAUUUGAAAAUUUAAAUUAUCAAUAUUUAUGUCACGGAUCAAUUAUUGCUCCAAAUGUAGUCAUAUCUAGGGCUGAAUGUUUUUUUUAUCCCAAUAUGUUAAAUACGAAAAUAUCAGUACCAUAUGGAAAACUCAAAGUUGCUGUAGGAAAAUAUAAUUUGAAUUUUUCAAAAAUUGACAAUGAAUAUACUCAAAUAUUGAAUGUGGAAACAAUAUACAUAAAGGAAAGUUAUAAUGGAAAAGAAGGGUCAUAUGCUGAAGAUAUAGCUGUUAUUGUGUUAGAAAACAAAGGUUUGAUUACCAGUGAUGUUUCACCAAUAUGUAUCGAUUGGAAUGGAAAAUAUAUGGUACACAAUGGAGAUAUAGGAAGGAUUUUCGUUUUUGAAGAAGUGGUAAAUGGGAUAGAAAAUUCUGUUUUAUUAGAAAGAUUUGUUCAAUUCAUCGACACCAGCAAUUGUCAAAAAAAUUUUUCAACCAAAUAUAAACACUUACUGACUUUUGAUAAGUUUUGUACAACUUUUUAUUCAAGAAAAGAAGCAGGUUUCCUAGAUAGUGGAGCAGGCAUAGGUUUUGUACACUCUAAUUCUUAUUUUUUAACCGGGAUGAUGAUUAUGAGGCAUGCAAGAUUAAACGGUACAAUCGCAGGUUUUGUGGACAUUAGAUUCUAUGUUCAAUGGAUUCGUGGAAUUUUAAACAAACAUUUCACAGAUAAUUCAUGCGUUUUACCAACUGUCGUAGGAGUUAUAUAUUCCUAUGAGGGUUCUAAUGAAAUUUUAUCUCAUGGGAAAUUAAUUAAUCUUCAUCGUACUGUUAUUGAAAAGUGUGAACAAGGAUAUUAUAAGGCUCAUCCCAUAGGUUUUAGAUUUUGUCAGGGAAAAGGAAAAUGGUUAUCGAAUACUGAGAAAUUGUGUUUCAAAAUGUGUCCACCUCUAAUAUCAGAUAGUUUAGAUAUUAAAUGUAGUCAUAAUAGUAAGUAUGCUAAUUGUUCAAACUUAUCGAUACCUGAUACAAUAGCAACAGCAUCAUGUAAGCCAUUCUAUACUGCACUAAUCUCACAAGAAGAUACUCAGCUUGAAUUAAAUUGUCAGGCUAAUGGGUUGUGGAAUAAACAACUGAAUAGAUGCAAUCCAAUUUGUGGUAGAGUAUAUAUCAUAAACCAAGUGUUGAUCAACAAUGGUAAAAAAGCACUUGUUGGUACGGCACCUUGGAAUGUUGGAAUAUAUCAAUUAAAUAAAAAAAAAACAAAUUAUAACUUGAUAUGUGGAGGAUCAAUUAUUGCACCAAAUUUGGUCAUUUCUGCGGCUCAUUGUUUUUGGAAAAAAGCUAUGUUAUCUAAGAAAAUAUCAAUAACGGAUGGUCUAUACAAAAUUGCUGUUGGAAAAUAUGAUAGAAAUUUUACAAUAAUCGACAAUGAAUUUACUCAAAUAAUAAAUGUGGAAACGAUUCACCUGAAAGAAGGUUAUUAUGGACCUACUGGGUUUCAUGCUGAAGAUAUAGCUAUUAUUGUAUUAGAAAACCUAGUUUCUUUUAGUAAUGGCGUUUCACCUGUUUGUAUCGAUUGGAAUGGUGAAUACAAUGUGGCCAAUGGAGACCAAGGAAAGAUUGUUGGUUGGGGAAAAACAGAAAAAGGAAUUUCAAGUCCUAUUUUAUUAGAAGCAUCUUUACCAUACAUCGACCAUAGUACUUGCCGGGAUAUGUAUACAAAUGGAUUUGAAUUAUUUAUGACUGUUGAUAAGUUUUGUGCCGGUUCUACAUUGGGAAAUGGAGCAGAUUUCGCAGAUAGUGGAGCAGGCAUAAGCUUUCUACACUCUAAUUCUUAUUUUUUAACCGGGAUGCUGAAUAUGAGGAUUGCAGAUUCAAACAGUGCAAUCGCAGGUUUUUUGGACAUUAGAUUCUAUAUUCAAUGGAUUCGUGGAAUUUUAAACAAACAUUUUACAGAGAAUUCAUGCGUUUUACCAACUGUCGAAGGAGUUAUAUAUUCUUAUGAAGGUUCUAAUGAGAUUUUAUCUCAUGGGACAUUAAUUAAACGUCAUCGUACUGUUAUUGAGAAGUGUGAACAUGGAUAUCAUAAGGCUUAUCCCAUAGGUUUUAGAUUUUGUCGAGGAAAAGGAAAAUGGUUAUCGAAUACUGAGAAAUUGUGUUUCAAAAUGUGUCCAUCUCUAAUAUCAGAUAGUUUAGAUAUUAAAUGUAGUCACAAUGGUAAGUAUACUAAUUGUUCAAAUUUAUCGAUACCUGAUACAAUAGCAAAAACAUCAUGUAAGCCAUUCUAUACUGCACCAAUUUCACAAGAAGAUACUCCGCUUGAAUUAAAUUGUCAGGCUAAUGGAACGUGGAAUAAGCAACUGUAUAGAUGUAAUCCAAAUUGCGGUAGAGUAUAUAUCAUAAGCCAAGUGUUGAUCAACAAUGGUAAAAAAGCACUUGUUGGUACGGCAUCUUGGAAUGUUGGAAUAUAUCAAUUAAAUAAAAAAAAAACCAAUUAUGACUUGAUAUGUGGAGGAUCAAUUAUAGCACCAAAUUUGGUCAUUUCUGCGGCUCAUUGUUUUUGGAAAAAAGCUUUGUUAUCUAAGAAAAUAUCAGUAACGGAUGGUCUAUACAAAAUCGCUGUUGGAAAAUAUGAUAGAAAUUUUACGAUAAUUGACAAUGAAUUUACUCAAAUAAUAAAUGUGGAAACAAUUCACCUGAAAGAAGGUUAUUAUGGAGCUAAUGGGUUUUAUGCUGAAGAUAUAUCAAUUAUUGUGUUACAAGACCGAGUUUCUUUUAGUAAUGGUGUUUCACCUGUUUGUGUCGAUUGGAAUGGUAAAUACAAUGUGGUCAAUGGAGACAAAGGAAAGAUUGUUGGUUGGGGAAAAACAGAAAAAGGAAUUUCAAGUCCUAUUUUAUUAGAAGCAUCUUUACCAUACAUCGACCAUAGUACUUGCCGGAAUAUGUAUACAAAUGGAUUUGAAUUAUUUAUGACCGUUGAUAAGUUUUGUGCCGGUUCUACAUUGGAUUGCGGUAGAGUAUAUAUCAUAAACCAAGUGUUGAUCAACAAUGGUAAAAAAGCACUUGUUGGUACGGCACCUUGGAAUGUUGGAAUAUAUCAAUUAAAUAAAAAAAAAACCAAUUAUGACUUGAUUUGUGGAGGAUCAAUUAUUGCACCAAAUUUGGUCAUUUCUGCGGCUCAUUGUUUUUGGAAAAAAGCUAUGUUAUCUAAGAAAAUAUCAAUAACGGAUGGUCUAUAUAAAAUCGCUGUUGGAAAAUAUGAUAGAAAUUUUACGAUAAUUGACAAUGAAUUUACUCAAAUAAUAAAUGUGGAAACGAUUCACCUGAAAGAAGGUUAUUAUGGAGCUGAUGGGUUUCAUGCUGAAGAUAUAUCAAUUAUUGUGUUACAAGAACGAGUUUCUUUUAGUAAUGGUGUCUCACCUGUUUGUAUCGAUUGGAAUGAUUGUUGGUUGGGGAAUAACAGAAAAAGGAAUUUCAAGUCCUAUUUUAUUAGAAGCAUCUUUACCAUACAUCGACCAUAGUACAUGCCGGAAUAUGUAUACAAAUGGAUUUGAAUUAUUUAUGACUGUUGAUAAGUUUUGUGCCGGUUCUACAUUGGUUUCAGAACAAGGAGUGAGUAAGGGAGAUAGCGGUGCAGGAUUAUGCUUUUUCCAUUCUGAUUCUUAUUAUUUAACUGGAGUAGUAAGUAUCAAGGAUCCAAAUACAACUAAUUCGAUCGCAGUUUUUACAGAAGUUA